CCAUCUAUAUGUCAACCACUGAUCACUACACAGCAAAAGAAGAACACAAAGUUUUCCAUGAAGGAAGACAAAGAGAAGAGAAAUAUCACCAUAACAGUGAGAGAAGUAACAGCAGACGACAGUGGGACAUACUGGUGUGGAGCAGAAAGCACUGACAGAAGACGCAGUAACACAUUCUUCCACAGAUUCUUGAUGACUGUAGUGUCAACAAUUCCCUCUGCAACCUCAUCACCACCUGUAACACAACCAGCUAUUGUUUCUAAUGACGCCUUUGAUCUCACAUCUGUGCAGACCAUUGCUCUGG
Molecule: long non-coding RNA, 304 nt
Organism: Dicentrarchus labrax (European seabass)
Lineage: Eukaryota; Metazoa; Chordata; Actinopteri; Moronidae
Exons: 3
Source: RefSeq, a predicted model, not a curated record